Long non-coding RNA from Mytilus californianus (California mussel), 1367 nucleotides. RefSeq lists it as uncharacterized. Lineage: Eukaryota; Metazoa; Mollusca; Bivalvia; Mytilida; Mytilidae. The record is from RefSeq and is a predicted model, not a curated record. The transcript is spliced from 3 exons.
GUUUACGCAUACAACUUGGUUUUACAUUAUCAAUAUUAUAAAAUCUUCAAUGAUAAUACUUAUAUUUUUUUAAUGGAAGAACUAGACAAAAUGUCAUUGUUUUACAUGCGGUAAGUAUGAUUUUAUGAUUUUAUUGUUUUAUAUAAUAUGUCUGAAAACAUGUUGGCAACUUUUUUACGAUUACGGUUUUUUUAAAUAGAAUAUUGAAGUCUUUUAAAAUCAAACUAAAGCCGUUUACCUACAAUUAGAAGAAAGUAGUUUCAGAAAUAUAUGAAUCAUUUUUUAAAGUGAUACAAUAUGCUAAAAAAUGUACGAAACAGUGAAAUACAUUUGAGAUUUAAGAAUACCCUCAAUAUAGUCUUUUCAUUUUGUUAUGUCACACUUGAAACUAAAACUGUAGGAAUAAGAUGCAUUGACUCUGGUCUUGCAUUUGGGUGAUCUGGAGAAGUUAAAAUGCCAUGUUUUAGUUGAUGCCUGACUCAAAGUUUCUUUUGAAAAAAAUAUCUACACAUUUUGCAACAUUGCUCAAUUGUUUAUGCAAACAGAAUGAGUCGUUAAUGGUAAUAGCACAAAAUGUCUUUAUUUUUAUAUCAGUUAAACCAAUUCGUUGAAGAAAAAAACCAAGAUCGAAAUGGCAUAUAGAUAAAAAAAACAAACAAUUAAAAAAUUUCAGAAAACACGACAUAGAAAAGUAGAUUGAGCGACGCGUAUCAAACCAAAAACCCUGUAUGAACGCCUGGGUUACGAAUAGUUAAUGAAUUUGUGUUCAACUUUUUUUUUUAUACAAACAAAAGUGGUAAUAAGUUACAUUCGAUGAUGUCACAAUAGCAAAAGACGAUGGAAUGAUAUUACAAAUAGAUAUUAUCAGUGGCCAUGAGAUUUGCAUAUUUGUCAACCAAAUCAGGAUGUCGUCGUAAAACGUUCGAAGGUUGACUAGGACUUGAUCAUUGGGUUUAUAGUUUCGUUGUCAGCAGCAACCCGUCAUCAAGGAACUCUUUGUAGUAAUCGAAGCUCUGGGAUAACGUAUCGACUUGAAGAUAAAUAAUGGAUAUACGGACGCUGUUGGUAUGCUACUACAUUUACCUGGUAUAUUUAGUCUUUCAAUACAUGCGAAAAAAUACAAAAGGGACGUUCAAACGCAUAAAAGUAAUCCUAUAAAUAACAUAUACUUUUUAUGACGUUGCUGUAUCUAAUUAUCUCUACAUUACAGCCACCAACAUCAGAGUGUAGGACAUCACGAUUCCGUGUUAGCAGGUCGCAUCAAGAGAGUUGAGACAUAAUCCAAUUUACAAAUCAAACUCAAAAUUCUUGAUAACAAGAACAAAUGAAGAAGGUCUGUUGGAUUUUUCCGAACACUAUAUAUAAAA